Long non-coding RNA from Hypanus sabinus (Atlantic stingray), 746 nucleotides. RefSeq lists it as uncharacterized. The transcript is spliced from 3 exons. The record is from RefSeq and is a predicted model, not a curated record. Lineage: Eukaryota; Metazoa; Chordata; Chondrichthyes; Myliobatiformes; Dasyatidae.
UCCAUACCCAUUUUUCACUUUAUCCAGUCACGUCUGUCAAUGCCAACGAAUAACCAGAUCGCACCGGAGGAAAAUGAAAGCUCAAGAGAAGAUCCUUCAGAACACAAUAAAUAUAAUCCAACUAGAAUGAUAGCCGGCUCGUGGCGUAGUGGCAUCUGCAUCGUUCUUUGAGGAUCUGUUCUGGGACCAGCACCUAAGUGCCAUAAUAAAAGAAGCAUGACAAUCUACUUUCUUAGAAGUUUGCGCGGAUUCAGCAUGUCAUCGGUAAUUCUGACAACCUUUAUAGACACACAGUGGAGAGUACCCUGACCGAUUGCAUCACAGCGUGAUGGCGAACACCAAUGCACCAGAACGGAAAAGCCCACAGAAAGGGGUGGAUACUGCCCUCCAAAGCACCCUCUACCAUCCAAGUCAUGCUCUCUUCUCACUGCUGUCAUCAGAAAGGAGGGCAGGAGGCUUAGUUCCCACACCACCAAGUUCAGAAACAGCUAUAUAUUACCCUGAGUGAGUGCAGAUAACUUCACUCCCCUCAACUCUGUACCAGUUUCACAAUCACAGACUCUCUUUCAAACACUCGACAACUCAUGUUCUUGUUAUGUAUGCAUGUAUGUAUUUAUUUAUUUAUCAUUAUUAUUAUUAUUAGUGCUAUAUUUGCACAGAUUGUUUCCUUUGGCACAUUGGUUGUGUCAGUCUAUAUUUGUGUGCAGUUUUUCAUAGAUUCUAUUGUAUCUGUUUGUUUUAUUAUG